This 487-nucleotide ribosomal RNA is filed under the name uncultured bacterium. RNAcentral describes it as "partial 16S ribosomal RNA". It matches the Rfam family "Bacterial small subunit ribosomal RNA", at positions 28 to 507 of the family's 1533-position model. The record is from RNAcentral.
GAUGAACGCUAGCGAUAGGCUUAACACAUGCAAGUCGAGGAGCAGCACAAGGUAGCUUGCUAUCUGGGUGGCGACCGGCGCACGGGUGCGUAACGCGUAUGCAACUUGCCCUAUACAGGAGGAUAACCCGUCGAAAGACGGACUAAUACUGCGUAUGCUCACAACUUGGCAUCAAGUGGUGAGGAAAGAAAUUCGGUAUAGGAUAGGCAUGCGUCCCAUUAGCUUGUUGGUGAGGUAACGGCUCACCAAGGCAACGAUGGGUAGGGGAACUGAGAGGUUUAUCCCCCACACUGGUACUGAGACACGGACCAGACUCCUACGGGAGGCAGCAGUGAGGAAUAUUGGUCAAUGGGCGCGAGCCUGAACCAGCCAAGUCGCGUGAAGGAUGACUGUCUUAUGGAUUGUAAACUUCUUUUAUACGGGAAUAACAAGAGUCACGUGUGACUCCCUGCAUGUACCGUAUGAAUAAGCAUCGGCUAACUCCGUG